Molecule: ribosomal RNA, 2899 nt
Filed under: Klebsiella pneumoniae
Lineage: Bacteria; Pseudomonadati; Pseudomonadota; Gammaproteobacteria; Enterobacterales; Enterobacteriaceae
Description: bacterial LSU rRNA
Rfam family: Bacterial large subunit ribosomal RNA
Source: RNAcentral
UUAAGCGACUAAGCGUACACGGUGGAUGCCCUGGCAGUCAGAGGCGAUGAAGGACGUGCUAAUCUGCGAAAAGCGUCGGUAAGGUGAUAUGAACCGUUACAGCCGGCGAUGUCCGAAUGGGGAAACCCAGUGCAAUUCGUUGCACUAUCGUUAACUGAAUACAUAGGUUAACGAGGCGAACCGGGGGAACUGAAACAUCUAAGUACCCCGAGGAAAAGAAAUCAACCGAGAUUCCCCCAGUAGCGGCGAGCGAACGGGGAGCAGCCCAGAGUCUGAAUCAGCUUGUGUGUUAGUGGAACGGUCUGGAAAGUCCGACGGUACAGGGUGAUAGUCCCGUACACCAAAAUGCACAGGCUGUGAACUCGAAGAGUAGGGCGGGACACGUGGUAUCCUGUCUGAAUAUGGGGGGACCAUCCUCCAAGGCUAAAUACUCCUGACUGACCGAUAGUGAACCAGUACCGUGAGGGAAAGGCGAAAAGAACCCCGGCGAGGGGAGUGAAAAAGAACCUGAAACCGUGUACGUACAAGCAGUGGGAGCACCUUCGGGUGUGACUGCGUACCUUUUGUAUAAUGGGUCAGCGACUUAUAUUCUGUAGCAAGGUUAACCGUAUAGGGGAGCCGCAGGGAAACCGAGUCUUAACUGGGCGUUAAGUUGCAGGGUAUAGACCCGAAACCCGGUGAUCUAGCCAUGGGCAGGUUGAAGGUUGGGUAACACUAACUGGAGGACCGAACCGACUAAUGUUGAAAAAUUAGCGGAUGACUUGUGGCUGGGGGUGAAAGGCCAAUCAAACCGGGAGAUAGCUGGUUCUCCCCGAAAGCUAUUUAGGUAGCGCCUCGUGAAUUCAUCUUCGGGGGUAGAGCACUGUUUCGGCUAGGGGGUCAUCCCGACUUACCAACCCGAUGCAAACUACGAAUACCGAAGAAUGUUAUCACGGGAGACACACGGCGGGUGCUAACGUCCGUCGUGAAGAGGGAAACAACCCAGACCGCCAGCUAAGGUCCCAAAGUCAUGGUUAAGUGGGAAACGAUGUGGGAAGGCACAGACAGCCAGGAUGUUGGCUUAGAAGCAGCCAUCAUUUAAAGAAAGCGUAAUAGCUCACUGGUCGAGUCGGCCUGCGCGGAAGAUGUAACGGGGCUAAACCAUGCACCGAAGCUGCGGCAGCGACACUAUGUGUUGUUGGGUAGGGGAGCGUUCUGUAAGCCUGCGAAGGUGUGCUGUGAGGCAUGCUGGAGGUAUCAGAAGUGCGAAUGCUGACAUAAGUAACGAUAAAGCGGGUGAAAAGCCCGCUCGCCGGAAGACCAAGGGUUCCUGUCCAACGUUAAUCGGGGCAGGGUGAGUCGACCCCUAAGGCGAGGCCGAAAGGCGUAGUCGAUGGGAAACAGGUUAAUAUUCCUGUACUUGGUGUUACUGCGAAGGGGGGACGGAGAAGGCUAUGUUAGCCGGGCGACGGUUGUCCCGGUUUAAGCAUGUAGGCUGAUUGUCCAGGCAAAUCCGGAUAAUCAAGGCUGAGGUGUGAUGACGAGGCACUACGGUGCUGAAGUAACAAAUGCCCUGCUUCCAGGAAAAGCCUCUAAGCAUCAGGUAACAUCAAAUCGUACCCCAAACCGACACAGGUGGUCAGGUAGAGAAUACCAAGGCGCUUGAGAGAACUCGGGUGAAGGAACUAGGCAAAAUGGUGCCGUAACUUCGGGAGAAGGCACGCUGGUGUGUAGGUGAAGCCCCUGCGGGUGGAGCUGAGACCAGUCGAAGAUACCAGCUGGCUGCAACUGUUUAUUAAAAACACAGCACUGUGCAAACACGAAAGUGGACGUAUACGGUGUGACGCCUGCCCGGUGCCGGAAGGUUAAUUGAUGGGGUUAUCCGUAAGGAGAAGCUCUUGAUCGAAGCCCCGGUAAACGGCGGCCGUAACUAUAACGGUCCUAAGGUAGCGAAAUUCCUUGUCGGGUAAGUUCCGACCUGCACGAAUGGCGUAAUGAUGGCCAGGCUGUCUCCACCCGAGACUCAGUGAAAUUGAACUCGCUGUGAAGAUGCAGUGUACCCGCGGCAAGACGGAAAGACCCCGUGAACCUUUACUAUAGCUUGACACUGAACAUUGAGCCUUGAUGUGUAGGAUAGGUGGGAGGCUUUGAAGCGUGGACGCCAGUCUGCGUGGAGCCAACCUUGAAAUACCACCCUUUAAUGUUUGAUGUUCUAACGUUGGCCCCUGACCGGGGUUGCGGACAGUGUCUGGUGGGUAGUUUGACUGGGGCGGUCUCCUCCCAAAGCGUAACGGAGGAGCACGAAGGUUAGCUAAUCCUGGUCGGACAUCAGGAGGUUAGUGCAAUGGCAUAAGCUAGCUUGACUGCGAGCGUGACGGCGCGAGCAGGUGCGAAAGCAGGUCAUAGUGAUCCGGUGGUUCUGAAUGGAAGGGCCAUCGCUCAACGGAUAAAAGGUACUCCGGGGAUAACAGGCUGAUACCGCCCAAGAGUUCAUAUCGACGGCGGUGUUUGGCACCUCGAUGUCGGCUCAUCACAUCCUGGGGCUGAAGUAGGUCCCAAGGGUAUGGCUGUUCGCCAUUUAAAGUGGUACGCGAGCUGGGUUUAGAACGUCGUGAGACAGUUCGGUCCCUAUCUGCCGUGGGCGCUGGAGAAUUGAGGGGGGCUGCUCCUAGUACGAGAGGACCGGAGUGGACGCAUCACUGGUGUUCGGGUUGUCAUGCCAAUGGCACUGCCCGGUAGCUAAAUGCGGAAGAGAUAAGUGCUGAAAGCAUCUAAGCACGAAACUUGCCCCGAGAUGAGUUCUCCCUGAGACUUUAAGUCUCCUGAAGGAACGUUGAAGACGACGACGUUGAUAGGCCGGGUGUGUAAGCGCAGCGAUGCGUUGAGCUAACCGGUACUAAUGAACCGUGAGGCUUAACCU